RNAcentral lists this ribosomal RNA (653 nucleotides) under uncultured bacterium. RNAcentral's name for it is "bacterial SSU rRNA". It matches the Rfam family "Bacterial small subunit ribosomal RNA", at positions 202 to 847 of the family's 1533-position model. The record is from RNAcentral.
AUGGUUCUGCUACCACUCUUGGAUGGACCUGCGGUGCAUUAGCUAGUUGGUAAGGUAACGGCUUACCAAGGCAAUGAUGCAUAGCCGAGUUGAGAGACUGAUCGGCCACAUUGGGACUGAGACACGGCCCAAACUCCUACGGGAGGCAGCAGUAGGGAAUCUUCCACAAUGGACGAAAGUCUGAUGGAGCAACGCCGCGUGAGUGAAGAAGGGUUUCGGCUCGUAAAGCUCUGUUGGUAGUGAAGAAAGAUAGAGGUAGUAACUGGCCUUUAUUUGACGGUAAUUACUUAGAAAGUCACGGCUAACUACGUGCCAGCAGCCGCGGUAAUACGUAGGUGGCAAGCGUUGUCCGGAUUUAUUGGGCGUAAAGCGAGUGCAGGCGGUUCAAUAAGUCUGAUGUGAAAGCCUUCGGCUCAACCGGAGAAUUGCAUCAGAAACUGUUGAACUUGAGUGCAGAAGAGGAGAGUGGAACUCCAUGUGUAGCGGUGGAAUGCGUAGAUAUAUGGAAGAACACCAGUGGCGAAGGCGGCUCUCUGGUCUGCAACUGACGCUGAGGCUCGAAAGCAUGGGUAGCGAACAGGAUUAGAUACCCUGGUAGUCCAUGCCGUAAACGAUGAGUGCUAAGUGUUGGGAGGUUUCCGCCUCUCAGUGCU